Molecule: ribosomal RNA, 253 nt
Filed under: uncultured bacterium
Lineage: Bacteria
Description: partial 16S ribosomal RNA
Rfam family: Bacterial small subunit ribosomal RNA
Source: RNAcentral
GACGUAGGGGGCGAGCGUUGUCCGGAUUUAUUGGGCGUAAAGCGUGCGUAGGCGGCUGCGCAAGUCGGGUGUGAAACCCCGGGGCUCAACCCCGGAACUGCAUCCGAUACUGCGUGGCUAGAGGUAGGUAGGGGAGAUCGGAAUUCCUGGUGUAGCGGUGAAAUGCGCAGAUAUCAGGAGGAACACCGGUGGCGAAGGCGGGUCUCUGGGCAACUACUGACGCUGAGGAGCGAAAGCGUGGGGAGCGAACAGG